AAAAUUGAUUCUGUCACUUCUGUGACAUUCUGUGCUGCAGAAGGAACUAAUCAUCUUAUACCUCUGCUUAGAAAUGUUUGCCUGGCCUGGUUGGCUCAGUCGGUGGAGCAUGUGACUCUUGAUCUCACGGUCGUGAUUUCGAGCCACACGUUGAGCAUGGAGACUACUAAAAAAAAGAAAAAGAAAUGAGAAAUGUCUGCCUCAGUAAGGUCAUAUGAUACGAGAAAGAAACAUGAUAAAAACAAGACAUGAUUGAGAGACUCUACAUUGAGGACAUUAAAAAAUUUUUUUUAACGUUUAUUCAUUUUUGACAGAGACAGAGCAUUAGCAGGGAAGGCAUAGAGAGAGAGGGAGACACAGAAUGUGAAGCAGGCUGCAGGCUCUGAGCUCUCUCAGCACAGAGCCCGAUGUAAGGCUCGAACCCAUAAACCGCGAGAUCAUGACCCGAGCCAAAGUUGGACCCUCAGCCAACUGAGCCACCCAGGUGCCCCUAAAACAGUUUAGAUAAGAACUAUAGCAAUGAGGGAUUUUUCUUCAUUUUUUUGCUUUAUUUUAAAAUGUAUCGUAAGGAGGCAAAAGAGAACUGGGUUGGUAGUAGAGUGUUUCUGAUUCACUACAAGCCUGUCCUUUAGAUACUCUGGAAUAAUUAUUAGAAAUAGAAAGAUAAAAAAUACUGCUAUCAUGCUUACACCCAUUCCAAGUGCCCAAAAGGGUCUGACUCAUAGGGGAAGGUCACAUUUCUCAAGUUUAAGCAAUCAAAGUAAAAAGCCUUUGACUGUUUCUUCCUUAAAAGUGGUCUGAACAAUUUAAUUUGGAGGGCACCUGUGUGGCUCAAUCGGUUGAGCUUCUGACCCUUGAUUUCUGCUCAGGUCAUGAUCUCAUUAUUCAUGAGUCUCUGGGCUGACAGCAUGGAGCCUGCUUGGGAUUCUCUCUCUCCCUCUCUCUCUCUGUCCCUUCCCCACUGGCUUGCUCACCUUCUCUCUCUCUCCCUCAAAAUAAAUAAAUAAACUUGAAAAAACCUUUAAUUUGGAAAGGGAAUAUGGAGGAUUUUAAACGGAGAGAUUUACAGUAUUUUUCAGCAGAACAACUGUGAUUAGAAAGGUUUUUUUUAAGGCAAAUGUAUAAAAAUAUACCUUCUGCAGGACAACGUUCUUUAAAAAACUGAUGAUAUAAAAUUAACAAGGAGUGGGGCACCUUUGUGGCUCAGUCAGUUGAGCAUCCAAACUCUAGCUUGGGUCAUGAUUUCAUGGUUCAUGAGUUCUGAUGAGGGAGCGUGGGGCAAGCUGACAGCCAAGUACAGGGUAACAGCACCGCCCCCCCCCCCCCCAGGAGUAUGUGUGCUAUUCCUCGGACACUCCUGGCUGCCCAAGGACAGGGAAAAGGAAAGAAAGCAGAUAGCUGGCCGAUAGAGAUGACAGUCAUGCAGGACAGGAGUCUCCUUCAGUUCACGGAUAACUUAGAAAACUGCAAGAAAAAGGCAAUCUUCUCCAUAGCCUAAUCUCCAGAAACCUAUAGACUCCGUUUCCUAGAGCGCUAAUACCACCCUCACCAAGAUGGAAGGGGGUUUAAGUGCCAGCCAUGAUGAUGUGGGAAACUAAGGCAAGUGAGAAAGUAAAUUCCCUUACUGCCUACAGCCCACUGACAAGUCCUUGAGGCCAGCAGAGUGACCUCCCUCUAGGAGCUCAGCUGCCUCGAUGAUGACACUUUGCUAGGGGCAAAAGGCAAUCUUGGGUUAACAUUAUCCUGACACCCCAGGAUCCUGUAAGUCUACUGUACCAUAUAAAAAUUCCUUUGGAAACUUCCUUUAUCUCAACUCCCCAGAGAUAUAUGCUGGCAAUCAUACUCCAGGCUUCUGGCCCCUGAUAUACAUCUGAGGGGUCUCAUGACUGAAGUUUUACUAAAUGGUAAUACAUUGCAUUUUCCUACCAGCAGCUGGCCCCUCAAGAUCCUGGAAACCUUCCUUCCAAAAUUCCUUAGAAACUUAUGCUGUUCCUGACCCCCCUCCUAACCUGAGGGUAUCUAAUCAGUUACUCAUCACAACCCCAGUGCAGCUCUUUUGCCCACGGGUCCUGUCCCCGUGCUUUCAUAAAAUGACCUUUUUGCACCGAAGAUGUCUUCAAGAAUUCUUUCUUGGCCAUCAGCUGUGAAUCCCAACAUCACCCCAAGACCUCACCAAAACCAUCAGACACGCUGGGCUUUGUCCCGCACUGCUUCUCCCCGGGCAGACAUCUGGUGAGGACACUGCCUGGAAAGAAGGUAGAGGCUUCAGCCUCUGGGGGAGACGGAGCCUCAGGGAGGCUCACCUGAGGAAGAGGACGGGCGUGCUCCCGGAGGAGGCGGCACAACACCUCCCUGAUGGUGAUGAGAAGUGACCCUCUGCUUUGCUGUAACCACCCACAGUAAUAAAGACAGAAAAGAACCCCCACCAUCAUCCCAAAACUUCAUCAUAUGGUGCCCAGCUUGGGGCUACAAAUCCUUCCAUCUGGACUCUGAGCUGGUGCAAACCCGGAGGAGCAUGGGAGCAUCUCUUCGGUCCCCAAGGGUUCUCCUUUGAGAUGCCUUUUAACCACUGGAAACAAUUUGGAUUGCAAAAUGUAGACAAGGACUGAUCUCCUGUAACACUGCAUGGCCUUAAACAGGGCAAAGGAACACAAGAGAUGCUGGAUGGUGACUAACUUAUCGUGGUAAUCACCUCACGACGUAUGUAAGUCACAUUAUUAUGCUGAACCCCUUAAACUUAUACAGGGCUGUGUAUCAAUUGUAUCUGAAUAAAAAGGGGGAAAUUUUUCUUCAAGAAUUCAUGCGUCGAGUUUGGAGACGGAGGAGAACAAGAUGUCUUUUUUCUGAUUUGUUUCCUGUGGCUCCUUUUCCCUUCAGAACUCCAUUGAGAGAGCACUAGGCAAGCCCGGGGGGCAGAAAUCAACUCAGCCAAAUUCACCAAACUGAAGGGUUUCUUUUCCUGAGCUUUGCUUUGCCGGCCUGACAAAGCAGAGAGGCCCGGGCCUCCCAAGCCCUGGCCAGACCUGCCUGGGAGCCCCGUGCCCUGUCUCCGGGGCCCGCUUCGUCCGGCUGCCUGUCUGGCCUCCCCAGGUCCACCUGUGCUCGACCUUUCCAUCUCAAACCUACUCACACUCUCUGCAGCAAGGCUAAUAAACCCACUCUGAGUUUUCCUUUUCUGCUUUAUUUUCUCCUUAUUCUAUUUUUUUUCUCCAAAUUAUCCUUUGAUACAAUUUAGGGUUUUCUAUGGUCACAAACAAUCCUCCCUUGAUCCAUGGACCCACAGAUCAGCCAUCACUGACUAAGCCAAUGAAAAAGUAUUUGGAAUUAAUACAUGGAAGAAUCCAGCCUGAGGUAAUAGCCAGCCCCCAUCAGUGACAAGUUCCAGACAAGGUCUUCAGCAUAGGUCACAAAAAGGAAGAUAAAAAUUUGAGGUGUUAGAAAUUUCUCAGAACUUUGACUCUUGCAUUUGGUAGUUACAGAAUUUUGAAUGUGACCGAUAUCCCUAAGGCAUAAUUCUCCCCUAACAUUUCUACCUUUGUUAGGUGGGUGGAACUUUGCUUGAAAUUGUUGGUUUUUUAAUUUUUUUUAACGUUUAUUUAUUUUUGAGACAGAGAGAGACAGAGCAUGAAUGGGGGAGGGUCAGAGAGAGAGGGAGACACAGAAUCUGAAACAGGCUCCAGGCUCUGAGCCAUCAGCACAGAGCCUGACGCGGGGCUUGAACUCACAAACCACGAGAUCAUGACCUGAGCCGAAGUCGGACGCUUAACUGACUGAGACACCCAGGCGCCCCUGCUUCAAAUUGUUUUUUAUAGUCUGUUUCCUCUAACCUUCAAGGUACUCCUCGCUGUUUUAAGAAUUAAAAUCGACAGGA
Molecule: long non-coding RNA, 3871 nt
Organism: Acinonyx jubatus (cheetah)
Lineage: Eukaryota; Metazoa; Chordata; Mammalia; Carnivora; Felidae
Exons: 4
Source: RefSeq, a predicted model, not a curated record